Small nucleolar RNA from Lactuca sativa (garden lettuce), 107 nucleotides. The record is from RefSeq and is a predicted model, not a curated record. NCBI's taxonomy places the organism in Eukaryota, Viridiplantae, Streptophyta, Magnoliopsida, Asterales, Asteraceae.
AGAUCAUGUUGAGGAAAAUUGCAAAGUAAUCCUUUAUAACAUUCCUAAGCUUCAUAUAAGGAUGCACCAUCCAAUUGUUGAAAGUUAAGGAUGUUCUUCUUGAACUU